UAGAGCACUGUUUCGGCUAGGGGGCCAUCCCGGCUUACCAACCCGAUGCAAACUGCGAAUACCGGAGAAUGUUAUCACGGGAGACACACGGCGGGUGCUAACGUCCGUCGUGAAGAGGGAAACAACCCAGACCGCCAGCUAAGGUCCCAAAGUCAUGGUUAAGUGGGAAACGAUGUGGGAAGGCCCAGACAGCCAGGAUGUUGGCUUAGAAGCAGCCAUCAUUUAAAGAAAGCGUAAUAGCUCACUGGUCGAGUCGGCCUGCGCGGAAGAUGUAACGGGGCUAAACCAUGCACCGAAGCUGCGGCAGCGACACUGUGUGUUGUUGGGUAGGGGAGCGUUCUGUAAGCCUGUGAAGGUGUGUCGUGAGGCAUGCUGGAGGUAUCAGAAGUGCGAAUGCUGACAUAAGUAACGAUAAAGCGGGUGAAAAGCCCGCUCGCCGGAAGACCAAGGGUUCCUGUCCAACGUUAAUCGGGGCAGGGUGAGUCGACCCCUAAGGCGAGGCCGAAAGGCGUAGUCGAUGGGAAACGGGUUAAUAUUCCCGUACUUGGUGUUACUGCGAAGGGGGGACGGAGAAGGCUAUGUUGGCCGGG
RNAcentral lists this ribosomal RNA (590 nucleotides) under Salmonella enterica. RNAcentral describes it as "bacterial LSU rRNA". It matches the Rfam family "Bacterial large subunit ribosomal RNA", at positions 903 to 1495 of the family's 2925-position model. Lineage: Bacteria; Pseudomonadati; Pseudomonadota; Gammaproteobacteria; Enterobacterales; Enterobacteriaceae. The record is from RNAcentral.